This 253-nucleotide ribosomal RNA is filed under the name uncultured bacterium. RNAcentral describes it as "partial 16S ribosomal RNA". It matches the Rfam family "Bacterial small subunit ribosomal RNA", at positions 524 to 776 of the family's 1533-position model. The record is from RNAcentral.
UACGUAGGUGGCAAGCGUUGUCCGGAAUUAUUGGGCGUAAAGCGCGCGCAGGCGGUCCUUUAAGUCUGAUGUGAAAGCCCACGGCUCAACCGUGGAGGGUCAUUGGAAACUGGGGGACUUGAGUGCAGAAGAGGAGAGUGGAAUUCCACGUGUAGCGGUGAAAUGCGUAGAGAUGUGGAGGAACACCAGUGGCGAAGGCGGCUCUCUGGGACGGUACUGACGCUGAGACGCGAAAGCGUGGGGAGCGAACAGG